Molecule: ribosomal RNA, 450 nt
Filed under: uncultured bacterium
Lineage: Bacteria
Description: bacterial SSU rRNA
Rfam family: Bacterial small subunit ribosomal RNA
Source: RNAcentral
GUGGGGAAUAUUGGACAAUGGGCGAAAGCCUGAUCCAGCCAUGCCGCGUGUGUGAAGAAGGUCUUCGGAUUGUAAAGCACUUUAAGUUGGGAGGAAGGGCAGUAAGUUAAUACCUUGCUGUUUUGACGUUACCAACAGAAUAAGCACCGGCUAACUUCGUGCCAGCAGCCGCGGUAAUACGAAGGGUGCAAGCGUUAAUCGGAAUUACUGGGCGUAAAGCGCGCGUAGGUGGUUCAGCAAGUUGAAGGUGAAAUCCCCGGGCUCAACCUGGGAACUGCCUCCAAAACUACUGAGCUAGAGUACGGUAGAGGGUAGUGGAAUUUCCUGUGUAGCGGUGAAAUGCGUAGAUAUAGGAAGGAACACCAGUGGCGAAGGCGACUACCUGGACUGAUACUGACACUGAGGUGCGAAAGCGUGGGGAGCAAACAGGAUUAGAUACCCGGGUAGUCC